This 538-nucleotide transfer RNA is filed under the name Pseudomonas aeruginosa. RNAcentral describes it as "partial contains 16S ribosomal RNA, 16S-23S ribosomal RNA intergenic spacer, and 23S ribosomal RNA". The stretch from base 122 to 195 matches the Rfam family "tRNA". The record is from RNAcentral. Lineage: Bacteria; Pseudomonadati; Pseudomonadota; Gammaproteobacteria; Pseudomonadales; Pseudomonadaceae.
UGAACUCGUUAUCAACACGGUAGCCGUAGGGGAACCUGCGGCUGGAUCACCUCCUUAAUAGAAGAUCCCGGCUUCUUCAUAAGCUCCCACACGAAUUGCUUGAUUCACUGGUUAGACGAUUGGGUCUGUAGCUCAGUUGGUUAGAGCGCACCCCUGAUAAGGGUGAGGUCGGCAGUUCGAAUCUGCCCAGACCCACCAAUUGUUGGUGUGCUGCGUGAUCCGAUACGGGGCCAUAGCUCAGCUGGGAGAGCGCCUGCUUUGCACGCAGGAGGUCAGGAGUUCGAUCCUCCUUGGCUCCACCAUCUAAAACAAUCGUCGAAAGCUCAGAAAUGAAUGUUCGUGGAUGAACAUUGAUUUCUGGUCUUUGCACCAGAACUGUUCUUUAAAAAUUCGGGUAUGUGAUAGAAGUAAGACUGAAUGAUCUCUUUCACUGGUGAUCAUUCAAGUCAAGGUAAAAUUUGCGAGUUCAAGCGCGAAUUUUCGGCGAAUGUCGUCUUCACAGUAUAACCAGAUUGCUUGGGGUUAUUUAUGGUCGUAA